UAACUAUGCUAAGCCUCUGUGCUAAGCAGGACAAAACAGCCAAGUCAUUCAGGGGUGAGCCCCUGUGUCUGACAUUUCCAGAAAAAGGUCCCCUUCCUCCUCAGAAUGGGGUGUCUAGGAAUAUUCCAAGAACAUUUCCCACUUGCCACACAUUGAGAUUAUUAUGAUACAUACCUUUCUGACUCAGAUAAUGAUUUGAGCUGGUUAUUUGAAUUCAUUCUCGAACAAAACGGGGAGAUUGCGUUUUAGCAGAAAUCAAGCUGCGGUGCAAAAAGAGAAAAAAACCUAACAUUUGAACACUCACUAAAGUAUAUAUUCCUAAGGAGGAAUAUCCAACUCUGUGCAUGUCUUUCUCUGUCUUAGGGAUAAGAGUGGGAGAUAGGACAGGAUAUGUAGGUGAGGCUUUACUUAAUUUGUAUUGUCUUUUUGGUAGAAAGAACAAUAGGGAGAUAUACAUACUUCUAAAACAGGCCUUCUAUAAUCCUAGGUGUUUAUAGUUACAGGUGGGGUUUUCUGGAGAAAGAUGCAGAGAUAUAGGUUAGGGUCCAUAAUUUUAAAGAGACCAAAGAGAAGAGAAAGGAGCAGGAUUGACCAGGGAAAGAAGUUGAACUGUAUGGUGGGCUCCAUACUAGUAGGGAGCUCUAGUGUGAAUAUUGUCCAUCCAGUUUGUGCUGCGUUGGGUCUAAAUGGCCUGGCCUUUCUAUGCCUGCUUGAUUGCUUCUGUCACCAGAUGAGACUUGCCAGGGAGGACAUGAACUGGACAAGGUGGUCUCUGCAGCUGAGGCAGGUGCUGGAGGAGCUGAUAGCUGGAGGUUGCCUGAUGGCCUCAUUCCAUGCAGCUGGGCAGCACAUCCUUCCUGAAGGAAUGUCUUUGUUGUCUGCCACUAGACCCAACACAAAAUUGAUGGCAUAGUUGGGUGAUUGAGGAGAAAUUAGAGAAGGUGCCAUUUAUAAGGGUGCUAUAUUAUUCUCUGUAAGUUGCAGUGAACUAUACCCAUAAACGUCAAGGACCAAGGAAGGUGGCAAUUGCCAUGACCUGAAGAGGACUGUAGCAGUGGCUCUAACUAUAGGAGUAGCCUCCCCUCUUAGGGCUAUGGCCUUAGGCAGAAGAAAACAGCAGAUAUCAACCUAUAGCCUAGGAAGAAGCGAGCUAAGGAAAUAAAAUUUCCUUUCCUCUGCUGGUAUCUACCA
This 1191-nucleotide long non-coding RNA is filed under the name Vulpes vulpes (red fox). RNAcentral describes it as "lncRNA (ENSVVUG00000026569.1)". The record is from RNAcentral. Lineage: Eukaryota; Metazoa; Chordata; Mammalia; Carnivora; Canidae.